This 1008-nucleotide long non-coding RNA is filed under the name Salmo salar (Atlantic salmon). RNAcentral's name for it is "lncRNA (ENSSSAG00000099185.1)". The record is from RNAcentral. Lineage: Eukaryota; Metazoa; Chordata; Actinopteri; Salmoniformes; Salmonidae.
AGCAUUGAAUGCUAGGGAAGCAAGCGAGCAUUUGGCCUCCCCUGAUAAAAAAAAGCAUAAAUAAAUAGCAAUCAGCGUUGAGCUAAACUGAGUGAGCUCAACUGGGAAUGGUCCUGGCGCACCAAAAACAAGUGACAAGGGAAGCGAGUUUGGAUUUGGCUUCACUCCUAUCACAGAGAAACACGUUGUCGAUAGAAACAACUUGAAUUGUUGAAUCUCGUUGUGUUGUUGUCCUCUGGUGACUAGCUAGCUAGCUCAAAUUAUGCCUUUACUAAAUUAGCCAUGGAUGGAGAUAGAGAUUUGGACUUGUGGUUUUAAUUAAUUAUCUGUACUGGCCAAUGAUUAUAACGGCGAUUCGGAUCCAACCAUAAAAUACAUUGUGCCCCUGGACUGAGAGGAUGGAAGUUCAAUAUAUAGUUAGAUGUAGAAGGCUAAUGUUAACUAGCUAACGUUGCCCAUGAAAGGAAGUUAGGCUAGCGAGCAAGCAUUUUAGCCAGGUAGCCUAGGACAACAAAAAAUAAAAGCAUGUACUAUAUGACAGUCAUAAAGAUGGCAUUGGCGUUUCUCUACAAGUAGGGGAUCCUCUGAACACAUCAACAUCUGCCUCCCAUGAAGCAUCGUUACCUAUCGCUCCACAAAAGCCACAGCCCUACUACUUCAAGGUCUCAGAGUAUGUGAUGCACUGCAGCCAUAAAAGAAACACAAACCGGACAAGUAGGCGCACAAUGGAUUAUGGUGACUGCGGGUCCGGGUGUCUGAACCGGAGCAACCUGGCAGGUUCCCCUGCCUCAGCUGGCUCGACGUGUUUCCAUACCUCAGCGGGAAUGAUAGGCUCCCAUGUCUCAACUGGGUGAACAGGUUCUCGUGCCUCGACCGAGGCAACCGGGAGGCCUCAGCCGGUUCAUCAGGUUUCUGCGCCUCAGCGGAGGCAACCGGUCUGCUCCUGAUCCCCGGGAUCGUCCCUGUGGUUGGCGUCCUGCAGGCUGGAGCCGCGCGCCGGGAAGGGGG